UCAGCAAAUCAGGCUCAGCUCACAGUAGCCUCUUCUUCAUGACUUUCGUAAACCAUGCAAUGCAGAACGAGCAAUUCUGCCACUGGAAGUGUGCCGCACAGCAAAAAAGGAAAGACAACAAAAAAAGUGAGUCAGGGAGGGAGGCUCGUGAUGUAAACAUGACGCAAUCCCACAGUGACGCAAUCCCAAGGCACUGAAGGAAUGUUGCUUGCAGAUGCUAGUCCUGGCAUAGCGAGAGAGCAUCUACGCAUUGAAGUACUUUUUGCGGCAAGGUAUUUCUGAAAUGGUAUAUAUUUUAACGUUAAAUGCAUUUCUUGACCUCGAUAAAAAGUGGUUCAGGGACCCUGUAAAGGGGCCCUGAAACACUUUUUGAACACAAUAAGAAAACAUUGCCGAUCUGUCGUAGAGGCUGCUGUGAACAUGUAAACCAAAUAUGUAUUACUGCACUACUUGCAGCAGGGAAUUUACUAUCUCGUGAAACAAACAGCAAAAAAAAUCGCUUGCUCUCGCUACCGCAAUGCUGCCAUGCAGCUUCAUUAAAGGCAGCUCCACCCACCAACACUACUGGCUGAUUUCGUGACUGCGAGCAGAUUUCGUGGUUGCGGCCGCCAUUGGGUGUCGUGACGAGAGCCCUUUCACCGCCGCGACACUCAACUUUUGGCCAGGGCUUUGCCCUCUUGGCUUCUCUGCUGUGUAAUUUCCAACACACUAGCAGAGACAAAAAGAGAGAGAAAGGCAGGUAUCGAUGUGAUAGCUCCACUUAUAGUUGAAGAAUCCGAAAAAUGUUUUCGCCAUGAGAUUCGUCCAUUUGUAUCAUCUAUUUGUAUGUGACCAUUAUUAAAGCAUGCACUUCAUGAAUUUACCUUGACACUCAACAAAAGUAAAACGCGAUUUCUAAAGCACAUUCAUAAUUCCUGAAGUGUAGAAAUAAACAAAAUAAAUAAAAAAUGAAUACUUAUAAAUUUUAGCUAUUCAUCUGAAAAAGUAAAAUCUUGACGAUGCAACGCCUGUUGUGUAACAGGGAAAGCGCAUAUUGCUACACAUGCAAAGAAGAGACGCCACAAACAUGCACAGCGAGCACCACGGCGUCGAAGCACAAAUGGAAAGCGCGAACGCUGCAAUUCUCUUCUCCACCUCUAGGCACCUUCCUCCUCCGGUGCCCGCUUCCCUCGCGGGGACAAACAUAAUAUCGCCGAUUUGAAAGACGAGGCAUCUACGCUCGCCCAUAAAAAUAGCAUGCUGUGCUUAUACCAAUAGUACCAACAAUACUUUUUUAUUAUUUUUGCAUUGAACUCGGGACCAUGCAAGGAACACAAUUGGGUGGUAACAAUUUGCCAAGUCGUCCUUUUUUUUUACCCAUUACAUGACUAGUUCCAGCAUGUGCCCCAUUUUUGCUAAAAAAAGUCCAUUUGCAAGCAACAUCAACAAUAAGUAAUGACUCACCUGUGGUAACUCCUUUAGAAAUGUAAGGAACUAUCCAGUUUGCCUUUUCAUGCAAUAAACAGCUUGGGGUGGUCAAUUUCAAAAUGGGAAAAUUGCCAUCCACCUGAUUGUACCAUAAUGAAAGAAGCCUGCACGAAGUCCUCAGAAAGCAAAGUUCACAGCUGACAAGAAUUUCAUUCUGGUCUACAAGUCGAAUUUAGGACCAAAAAAAUUCUGGGGUUUUAUGUGCCAAAACCACGCUACGUUUAUGAGGCAUGCCAUAGUGGGGGAUUCCAGAAUAAUUUUUACCACCUGGGGUUAUUUAACGUGCAAAUUCAGGACCAUCAUUAGGGGUCAGGGGGAUGGCAGUUUUUCCUUUCAAGAAAUCUACACCCAUAAGCCGAAUCUCUGCAGAAUUCUUUUGAGCAACCAAUAUUUAACCAACAUUUGUGCACGUGCAGGUAAAUGAGCGAUGGGAAUGUCCAUUCUAUGGCACUGAGGAAGAAAACAAUGUGAGUAAUAACCAUAUCUUUUUCUCUGUCGCUCUCACAAAAGUGUGAAAGUAGCAUUUUUUCGCACAACAAAUGACACAAUGCUAGCAGUUCCUUAGUUUUUGUUAACAAACCCAUGUGCAGGAGAUGCCAGCAUCUUACUGCUGGUCAAGUGCAGUCCUUCGUGAUGAAGAAGGAACCAAUGUGGAAAUGCCAAUGGAAAGUGAAAUACACAGGCUGCAUUCAUUCUUGCACCGAGAAGAAGCAGAAGAAAGGAAUGAGAAGACACCAUUAAGUGACGAAUGGCCAGGUUCAUUCUUAAUAGAUCAACUACAGCAAAACAAUAUGGUAACAGCGGUCACCAUCCUUGACCCACAUUCGAUGUCCCUUGGCCAGGACACGGAAGAGAGCAACGUAAGUGAAGACUGCUUAACCUUUCAUGGCUUCCUUUGCCCAGCCAGAACAGGCAUUCAUUUCAUACUUUUGCACUGUAAAUGACUUUACAAAAAGCUGCCAAAUAUUGCAAAUUAUGCGGUAUUAUUCAUAAUGUAGGUCGCUAUUCAGAUGUCAGUUCAACAAGAUCAGAACAACAUUUGGUGUUAAACAUCUGUAGAUUUGAAUUUAUCAGAAAAAUACCCAAAUUUCUUGCCUUUGAUGAAUACACACGAGACCAAUCUCUGCCGUUUCCUUUUUUUCUUACCUGAAUUUUAUUGGCCCUUUCUGCCAUAUUUCGUAGGAAUAAUCUACAAAAUGAAAUACAGGAAAGACACACAACCCAUUUCAUUUGUGACAGUCCAUGGUUGUGCACAUAGCUUUUUAAUAUAUGCAUAAGGAAUAGAAAAAUUGCCCUAUAUGCUGAAUUCCAUGCAAUUCAUCUGAGAGCACAUCUCAGUAGGGUUAUGAUGAAUUACUUGUCUUUGGCUUUUACAACUGAGUCAGAUUUGAAUUGUCACUACACUAUUUUGCUCAUUGAUGAGAACAAGGCCGCCAUGGCUGUAGAAUCUGUUCCAAAAACUGCCCACUGUAUAUCAAUCAACAGUGGGUGCACAACGGAAGCCUCAGCAUGCAGCCAACAUUUCAACAAGCAGACUUGUUCUCUUGUAGGCAAAGUCCCCCCUAACGAAACAUUGGCUCCAGGGUCAGGCUUUCCGCUGGUGAUGCCUGUACGUGAGUCACCAGCACUGCUACUUGUAAUGCACAACAGUUCUGCAGAAUUAUUUAAUAGCAUGAAGUAGUAUGUGAUGCUAUCAUGCUGAUAAGACAUUAACUCUUCAUAUUUCAUCACACAUGACAUCAUAUUUGGGCUUUAAGGAUCUGCCUUUCAAUGGGUAAUGUUGGAAGGAAAGCCACCACUAGAAUGAAGCAAACAAUUCCUUUCCCAUGCUGUUACAGAGAAACCUCCGAUUCUCAUAGCUUCAGCUAAAUUUUGUUUUCGUCAUAACGAUACUGUGUCAUGGCGCAGUCCAAUUUGAAGCAUAUUUUACACAAAAGACUUUAACAAUAUAAUCUUAUCUAUGAAAGUGAGUCAAUACUUAGCAAAAGCUCAAGAUUAAGAAGCUGCUCAAAGUGUGGCUGAAGAAAAUGGCCCGCCCUUGUAAGAGUUGCUGAACUACAGUAAGACUCUGGUUCGGAGAUUACAGUGGCCCCUCUUUGCAUACUUAACAUCACAAUUCAGAGGACAACA
Dermacentor silvarum is the source of this 3597-nucleotide long non-coding RNA. RefSeq lists it as uncharacterized. NCBI's taxonomy places the organism in Eukaryota, Metazoa, Arthropoda, Arachnida, Ixodida, Ixodidae. The transcript is spliced from 4 exons. The record is from RefSeq and is a predicted model, not a curated record.